UUUUUUGUUUUUAUUUUCUUUUAUGAUGGGGGGAGGGCAGGAGGAGUAUUUGAGAUAUAUACACACAUAUACAUACACACCAAGAAAAAGACAAGGCCACAUGAGUACACAAGAAGAAGGCUGCAGGGAUCCCUGAGUGGCUCAGCGGUUUGGCACCUGCCUUCGGCCCAGGGCAUGAUCCAUGAUCCUGGAGUCCCAGGAUCAAGUCCUGCAUCGGGCUCGCUGCAUGGAGCCUGCUUCUCCCUCUGCCUGUGUCUCUGCCUCUCUCUCUCUCUCCCUCUCUCUCUCUCUCUCUCUCUCUGUCCCUCAUGAAUAAAUAAAUAAAAUCUUGAAGAAGAAGAAGAAGAAGAAGAAGAAGAAGAAGAAGAAGAAGAAGAAGAAGAAGAAGAAGAAGAAGAAGAAGAAGAAGAAGAAGAAGAAGAAGAAGAAGAAAGAAAGAAAGAAAGAAAGAAAGAAAGAAAGAAAGAAAGAAAGAAAGAAAGAAAGAAAGAAAGGAGAAAGAAGAAAGAAGAAGGCUGCCAUCUGCAAGCCAGGAAGAGAGCCUUCAUCAGAUACCCAACCCUGCUGGAUCCUGAUCUUUGCCUUUCCCACUUCCUAAACUAUGAGAAAACAAAUUUGUUGUUUACAUCACUUGGCCUACUUUAUUUUGUUAUAGCAGCCUAAGCCGACUAAUACAAAAGGAAACAAAGCAGGUGGAGAAGGAUGGGAAGUGGAUCUAAGGAGGCAAGCAGACAACACCCAGCAUGCUCAGAUGUAUUUCACAAAUAAAAGUUAUUACUAGUAUGACUCAAAGUAUGAAUUGGUUGAUAUUCAAAUUAUUAAUUCAGUCAGAAAAUGUUAUUGCUAAAUAUGUUUAUGUACUGAGUUUCUUUUAGCCACCUAAGGAUAGAAGGCCUCCUCAAAUAUGUUUGCCAGCUUGCACACACCAUUAAUAAAGAAGCAAAACAUUUUAAAGGAGUUGGCAAAGCAAAUGUUCUUUUGUGGUCCAGUAGUAUUAUGGCUUUAAAAAAAUUUUUUUAGGGAUCCCUGGGUGGCACAGUGGUUUGGCGCCUGCCUUUGGCCCAGGGCUCGAUCCUGGAGACCCGGGAUCGAAUCCCACGUCGGGCUCCCGGUGCAUGGAGCCUGCUUCUCCCUCUGCCUGUGUCUCUGCCUCUCUCUCUCUCUCUCUGUGUGUGACUAUCAUAAAUAAAUAAAAAUUAAAAAAAAAAAAUUUUUUUUAUAUUUACUUUCUGAAUGAGAUUAGUAUUUUGUAGUAGACUGCCAUGGUUUCAGGAUCCAUACAUUUACCCUAAAUAGGAUGCUUCAGUCCGGAGGCAUAAAAAAUGAGAAAAAUCAUGACAUUGUCAGACUACAUUAAUUUCACAAUUACAUAAUUAAAUCCCUGAAGCCAAUGGAAAGACUUAAAAUUUUACAUCAUAUGGCUUAGCUCUCUAAUAUGUGAAUUUAUAGAAGCCCUGGGCCAGAUAAAAUGUCACAGAUUUAUUAGGAGAUAUAAAACCAUUAUCAGGAAAAGAAGUUCAAUAAAGUUUCUUUAAAGUUUUUUUUUUAUAAGAUGGAGCACCUGGGUGGCCAGUCAGUUAAGCAUCUGACUCUUAAUUUCAGCUCACCUCAUGAUCUCAGGGUCAUGGGAUUGAGCCCUGCACUGGGAUCCUGCUCACUGUAGAGUCUGCUUGAGAUUCUCUCUCCUCCUUUCUCUGCCCCUCCCCCUGCUCGUGCUCUGAAUAAAUAUAUAAAUAAAACCUUUUUUAAAAAUGCUUUUGAAAAGUUUUGUUAAUAUGAAGUGUCCAUAUGAAACAGAUCAUCACAAACAACCUAGCCAGCUCUAAUAAACUGAUACUUUUGAGAAAAGGAAAAUCACCACAAUUUCUAAUUAAAGCUCUUGAAGUAGCAGAAAAAAAGAAUGCUGACUUCAGAUGUCUGCGAGGUAACUGCUCUACCUUACACCCUUAAAAAAAGUGUCUUUCCUUACAACUUAAAAGCAAGAAAACAAAUCAGGAAAUUUUAAACUUUAAUGAUGCUUUAAAUUUAUCUAUUUAAAAAGGCCUUUCAAAAAUAUUUUUCCUCCAGAUGCUCUUUCACAAAACUCUCAAAAAUAUAUUAUCAUGUUUAUUAUCUGCAGGGAAAGGAUGACAAAUACAGUUUAAUAAACAACUACUAUGUAAAAAUUCUCUGUUGGUUGCCUUACCUACCCCAUCUCAUCCUAAGCAUCAUCCUCCAGAACAGAGACUAUUUUCACCAUCUCAUAAAGGCACCUGCAGUCAGCUUUGUCUACCUCCAAUUUGCCAGAGCCUAAAAAUGUACCUGAUACUCCUAUCAGGAUGUACUCAAUAAAUGUUCCUGGAAUGAAUCCAUUAAUGAAUGAAUGAUGUUAGUAGUUUAAGUACCUAUGGUCACGUGAGCUCAGGUCCAUCUACCUCCACCAUUCAUUCUUUUAUCAACAUGCCGUGGUGAAAGUAUGAGGUUCAAAAUAGUUACAGGACAAAAUCACAUAAUAUCGUUCUCAGGAAAUGCAACCUCGCAAUGUACAGCAAUUUAUUCAUAUUAUUUAGAUGCUGUGUCACAUUUAAAUACCUUCGCAAGACUGAUAAAACUAUAGUGGAAGGAAGAGUGGACAAAAGACAAGGAAAGAAACAUGCUAAGAAUUUAACAGAGCAGUUGUCUACAGUGGGAACUUCAGGCAGGGGUGAGUGAAAAUAAGAUGAUCCGGGAGCCAGGGAAGCUCAUUGAGUGAGUGAAGUUCUAGAAGCAUAUACUUAAAAGUUUUACUUGAGCCAAAUUAUUCAAGAGGAAGAUGUACAAGAACUUUCCAGGUGUUACAAUUGUCCCAUAUGAAAAGAUGCAGCUCUAUAUGAGGGUGGUUGAGGGAGCCAUUGGUGCCUUUGUAGGAAAACGAAAAUGGAACGCCAGACCCAACUGUGACCAACAGCUCUAGGUUCUUGCAGUCUCCAUCACUGGCCAGUUCCAUAUCCCUAAUUCUUGCCCUCUCUUCACAGGGCUUCACAUGACUAGGGUAUUUGAUAUUUGGUAACAGGCAUGCUCCCAUGAAAUAUGAAGUCCUGGAAAGAGCCAGAUUAGUAGAGAGAAAAAGACAUCAUAUACAGUCAUUUUCUGGCAGAUCUCAUCCCUUGGUCCCCAGGUCUUUCCACCCUUUUCCACUCUGCUGACUGCCCUGAGGCUCAACUGUAUAUAUUACAAUGAGCCGCCCCUUGCUCCAUGGCUUCCACUUGUGUUUGGCAGAUGGGGAGCCCUGGCAGGAAGCAAGAGUUGGUGGGGGAGGAGACUGGGUCCUGGGUAUUUAUUCUGGAUUUCUCUUCACAGGGUUCCCUCUAGAUGGUGUGUCCCACAUCCAACAGUCAUUGGUCCCCUUGAAGUGGUCUGUUCUACACAACUUCUCCCUUGCUUUAGGGAAACUCUAUCCCUGCCCCACACCCCAGUCCCUUAAUCUCUGUGGACACAGAAAUGCAAAGAUUGGGAUCCCUGGGUGGCGCAGCGGUUUGGCGCCUGCCUUUGGCCCAGGGCACGAUCCUGGAGACCCGGGAUCAAAUCCCACGUCGGGCUCCCGGUGCAUGGAGCUUGCUUCUCCCUCUGCCUAUGUCUCUGCCUCUCUCUCUCUCUCUGUGUGACUAUCAUAAAUAAAUAAAUAAAUAAAUAAAUGCAAAGAUUGUGGCUGCUUACAGCCCUGAAACUCUGGAUUAUCCACAGAUCUUCUAGCCUAUAUCUCUAUAGUAAAUCAUUUUAUAAAUAAAUUCACCUUGAAUUAUUUUGAGAGCACAAUCUCCUUCAUAUCUUUCACACUGGAACGUUGCAUAAGUUUAUUCAUUCAUUCAGCUACUAUAUAUAUAUAUAUACACACACACACACACACACACACACACAUAAUAAUCACACACACAGGGAUCCCUGGGUGGUGCAGCAGUUUGGCGCCUGCCUUUGGCCCAGGGCGUGAUCCUGGAGACCCGGGAUCAAAUCCCACGUUGGGCUCCCGGUGCAUGGAGCCUGCUUCUCCCUC
This 4009-nucleotide long non-coding RNA is filed under the name Canis lupus familiaris (dog). RNAcentral describes it as "lncRNA (ENSCAFG00845009929.1)". Lineage: Eukaryota; Metazoa; Chordata; Mammalia; Carnivora; Canidae. The record is from RNAcentral.